RNAcentral lists this ribosomal RNA (253 nucleotides) under uncultured bacterium. Its description in RNAcentral is "partial 16S ribosomal RNA". It matches the Rfam family "Bacterial small subunit ribosomal RNA", at positions 524 to 776 of the family's 1533-position model. The record is from RNAcentral.
UACAGAGGUCCCAAGCGUUGUUCGGAUUCACUGGGCGUAAAGGGUGCGUAGGUGGUUGGGUAAGUCUGAUGUGAAAUCUCCGAGCUUAACUCGGAAAUGGCAUUGGAUACUAUUCGGCUAGAGGGUUUGAGGGGGACUGGAAUACUUGGUGUAGCAGUGAAAUGCGUAGAUAUCAAGUGGAACACCAGUGGCGAAGGCGGCUCACUGGCCCGUUACUGACGCUGAGGCACGAAAGCGUGGGGGAGCAAACAGG